This 492-nucleotide ribosomal RNA is filed under the name uncultured bacterium. RNAcentral describes it as "partial 16S ribosomal RNA". It matches the Rfam family "Bacterial small subunit ribosomal RNA", at positions 29 to 507 of the family's 1533-position model. The record is from RNAcentral.
AGUGAACGCUGGCGGUAGGCCUAACACAUGCAAGUCGAACGGCAGCACAGUAAGAGCUUGCUCUUACGGGUGGCGAGUGGCGUACGGGUGAGGAAUACAUCGGAAUCUACUUUUUCGUGGGGGAUAACGUAGGGAAACUUACGCUAAUACCGCAUACGACCUACGGGUGAAAGCAGGGGAUCUUCGGACCUUGCGCGAUUGAAUGAGCCGAUGUCGGAUUAGCUAGUUGGCGGGGUAAAGGCCCACCAAGGCGACGAUCCGUAGCUGGGCUGAGAGGAUGAUCAGCCACACUGGAACUGAGACACGGUCCAGACUCCUACGGGAGGCAGCAGUGGGGAAUAUUGGACAAUGGGCGCAAGCCUGAUCCAGCCAUACCGCGUGGGUGAAGAAGGCCUUCGGGUUGUAAAGCCCUUUUGUUGGGAAAGAAAAGCAGCAGGUUAAUACCCCGCUGUUCUGACGGUACCCAAAGAAUAAGCACCGGCUAACUUCGUG